UGUGCUUAUGUUUGGUGUGAUGUUAAUUUUGCCUAUACCAUGUUUAUUUGUAUUGCUACGUUUAGCAGUGAGGUCACGAGUCACCUGAAGAGCAAGUUAGUACCUGGAAUCUCAAGUCCCAGGCAAGUUGUGCCCUUGAUCACUUUUAUUUACCCAAUAAUGUUCUCUAUAACCAUUUUAUCAUGCACAUGCUUAAUUUUGAUGGGACCCAAUAGGUUACCCUAGUUUGGUCAUCUUUACACCUUAUUUACCCCUGAACUUUUGGGUAGUAUUUGCUAUUGCUCUAUAUGGUUUUGGGAUUAAUAUUUCAUUAUGAUUAUGUUCCAAUUAUACUGUUGUUUUACAUAUUGUUCAUGACAAGAGCAUUAUAUUAAUUGGAACAUGGAGCUUAACUUGAGAACACGUGCCACCACAAGGGUGGAAUGGGACGCCCUUGGCUGACUAAUUAGGAAAGCUAGUGGAAGACUACCUUACCCGAAAGGGGCAAGGGCAGUAAGGGAGUAGGCGUGUAGGGAGGUUCUUGGGUUGAUUUUGCUGCGAUGGCGAUCAGACGAGGGAUUCCAACAUUGCUCUUCCUAGAAACUGUAGCAGGUUUUCGAAAGCUAGUGGAACUUUGUAAGGGCCUCGUAGUGGAUCCAUAGCCAUUCACCUUGGAAGUGUUUAAGGCCCUUGCAAACCCUGGCAACAUGGGAUACACGACUUGUGGGUACAGGGUACAACCUCUGCAGAGUGUAAAAUUGGUAUACUAGCCGUGCUCGCGGUCAUGAGCAGCUCAGGACUCUCGCAUGAUUAAUUUAUGGAACUAAAUUCAAUUUGUCAUAUGCAUUGCAUCGCGGGUGUUGUUACCAAUUUUGAUCUACUACUUAUUUGGGUUGGUAUCUACUUAUACUUAGUAAUUGCUAAUAAAAUUUUGACCAACUUUAAAAGCAAUGCUCAGCUUCAACCAUCCUCUUUGGUAAGCCUUACACUUCACAUGAGCUCCCACCUUUGGCGAGUUCAUGCACAUUAUUCCCCACAACUUGUUGAGCGAUGAACGUAUGUGAGCUCACUCUUGCUGUCUCACACCCCCACAGGUCAAGAACAUGUACCGCAGGAUGAGGCGCAUGGAGGAUGCUACGAUGUGUUCAUGAGAGGUCUAGGUCGUCGUCUCCCAGUCAACUUUGGGCUGCUGGAUCAUUGUCUUCAUAUGAUGUAAUUAUUUAUUUAUUUUGUACAGAACUC
This 1221-nucleotide long non-coding RNA is filed under the name Zea mays. RNAcentral's name for it is "long non-coding RNA (ZMAY_LNC004366)". The record is from RNAcentral. Lineage: Eukaryota; Viridiplantae; Streptophyta; Magnoliopsida; Poales; Poaceae.